RNAcentral lists this long non-coding RNA (213 nucleotides) under Fukomys damarensis (Damara mole-rat). Its description in RNAcentral is "lncRNA (ENSFDAG00000029883.1)". The record is from RNAcentral. Lineage: Eukaryota; Metazoa; Chordata; Mammalia; Rodentia; Bathyergidae.
GGGCCCCUCUGGGUGCCAUCCAUUCCAACGUGCGGAUUCUGACAAGUGGCUCCUUCUCUCCAUCGGAGGCCAAAGUGAGGCCACUUGGAUGGACCAUCUGCUGGCUUUUGGCCUCAGCUGAUGGCCCAUCCUCAGUAUGCCAGUGUGGUGCACCCCCGCAGAGCAAGCAAGGAGAAGGGAGAAAUGUAUGCAGACUCUCUGAUGAGGCAGAAG